ACUAAAAAGAAUGAAUUUAUGAAAUUCUUAGGUAAAUGGAUGUAUCUGGAGGAUAUCAUCCUGAGUGAGGUAACCCAAUCACAAAAGAACUCACAUGAUAUAUACUCAUAAGUGGAUAUUAGCCCAGAAAUGUAAAAUACACAAGAUACAAUUUGCAAAACACAAGAAAAUCAAGAAUAAGGAAGACCAACAUGUGAAUACUUCAUUCCCCCUUAGAAUAGGGACCAAAUACCCAUGGAAGGAGAUACAGAGACAAAGUUUGAAGGUAAGAGGAAAGGAUGGACCAUCCAGAGACUACUCCACCCAGAGAUCCAUCGCAUAAUCAGCCACCAAAGGUCUGCAGGACUCCAUAAGCCUCAUCCUCUUCCUGUGUGUUUCCACAUCACCAAGAGAAGAGAAAACUUUGGUCUCAGUGAAAGGGGUGAAAGAGUUCGUUUCUGGAGAAGGAACUAGGCGAGGAGGAACUAGGCGCUGGUGCAAUAAUGUACUCAGGCACAUUGCCCAGCCUCUUCAUGCUGUUUACAAAGGGACUCAGGGGUAAAAAAAAGGAAACUUCCAGUCCCAGAUACUCUGAGUGAUGGCUACAAAGAGUCACAAAGAUGAUUCCGUCUAUUUGAGAACAUCCUCAAGCAGAUAGUCUGAGGCGCCCUUCCUUCCGAGGCAGAGUGCUUGGACCAGCUAGGAAGACAGCUGACACGCCUUAUCUAGCUGCUUAUCUGGGACCUUGUGGACUGCCCUUGGAAACAGAACCAAAUCUGCCUAAUCAAAAUGGAUGCAACAUGGACAAAAUGGCAUGCCUCUGCAUCUGUGGGGUCUCUGUACUGCAGCAGAGGCAAACAGUCCCAAAGAAAAUAGUCCAAGCACAAUAGAAACUCUACUGAAAACAGAUGAGUGUUAAGAAAUAAAUUUGGAACAACCCCUUUCGUCAUUAAUAAGUAUCAGUCAGUGGAUUGUAUGCUUAGCUCUUGAAAUAUCUGCA
Molecule: long non-coding RNA, 979 nt
Filed under: Mus musculus (house mouse)
Lineage: Eukaryota; Metazoa; Chordata; Mammalia; Rodentia; Muridae
Description: elncRNA-EC38
Source: RNAcentral